Molecule: unclassified non-coding RNA, 195 nt
Organism: Cricetulus griseus (Chinese hamster)
Lineage: Eukaryota; Metazoa; Chordata; Mammalia; Rodentia; Cricetidae
Gene: 7SK
Rfam family: 7SK RNA
About the family: 7SK was discovered as an abundant small nuclear RNA in the mid-70s but a possible function has only recently been suggested.
Source: Ensembl
GGAAAUGGGCUCCCGAAGUCCCUUUGUCCCCAAUAGCAGAGAACCAGUCUUUGGUCAAGGGUACACGAGUAGCUGCACUCCCCUGCUAGAACCUCCAAACAAGCUCUCAAGGUCUAACAGUGUAAAUAAUUUAGAGUCAAGUAUCUUGGAUUCAGUCAUGUUCUGGACUCCAAAGUGCAUGGACAGUUGUAUUUC